UUUAGCGAUAACGAACGAGACCUUAACCUGCUAAAUAGCCAGGCUAGCUUUGGCUGGUCGCCGGCUCCUUAGAGGGACUAUCGGCUCAAGCCGAUGGAAGUUUGAGGCAAUAACAGGUCUGUGAUGCCCUUAGAUGUUCUGGGCCGCACGCGCGCUACACUGACAGAGCCAACGAGUUUCUUCUUUGACCGAAAGGUCUGGGUAAUCUUGUUAAACUCUGUCGUGCUGGGGAUAGAGCAUUGCAAUG
This 247-nucleotide ribosomal RNA is filed under the name uncultured fungus. RNAcentral describes it as "partial small subunit ribosomal RNA". It matches the Rfam family "Eukaryotic small subunit ribosomal RNA", at positions 1319 to 1591 of the family's 1831-position model. Lineage: Eukaryota; Fungi. The record is from RNAcentral.